UUUAAUAAGUAUUUUGAUAUCCUUAAGGUACUGUCUUGUGGUGACAGAAAAAUGACAACUGAUAGUCAAAUGCAUGAUGCUGGAACGACUAUGGCAGUAACUAGUAUUGCCACGACGAGUCGUCCUAAUGCUCCACAAGCUAUGAAACCAACGGAGAAACCCGAAAAGUUCACGGGUAUUGACUUCAAGAGAUGGCAGUAGAAAAUGUUUUUCUACCUCACAACUCUGUGUCUUCAAAGGUUUACGGUUGAGGAAGCUCCGAAGGUGCCCGAGGAACUUUUGAAAAAGAACGCUUUGUGAUUGUAGAGGCUUGAAAACACUCAGAUUUUCCUUGCAGGAAUUAUAUCUUGAGUGGUCUCCAAGAUGACCUCUACAGUGUGUAUAGUGAAACCAAGACUGCAAAAGAGUUAUGGGGAGUGCUAGAACGAAAGUACAAGACGGAGGAUGCCGGAACUAAAAAGUUCUUUGUUGCAAGAUUCUUGGAGUACAAAAUGAUAGACAACAAGUCUGUUGUAGACAACUAGUCUGUUGUUUCCCAACUGCAGGAACUGCAAGUGAUCAUCCAUGAUCUCCUAGCGGAAGGUUUGAUUGUGAAUGAAGCAUUUCAAGUAGCGGCAAUAAUAGAGAAGCUACCACCUAUGUGGAAAGACUUCAAAAACUAUUUGAAACAUAAACGUAAGGAGAUAUCAGUCGAAGAUCUGAUUGUAUGACUACGCAUUGAAGAAGAUAACAAGGCUGCGGAAAGAAGGUCAAGAGGCAAUUCUGCAAUGAGUGGAGCAAACAUUGUAGAAGAUGACCAAAACAACUCUAAAAAGUGAAAGAAAGCUGGAAAUAAAAACAAUCAACCCAAGAAGAAAUUCAAAGGAAAGUGCUUCAACUGUGGCACGAUUAGCCACAAGUCUACGGAUUAUCGUUCCCCGAAGAAAGAGAAGAAGAAGGACCAAGCAAAUCUGGCUGAGUCUAAGAAAGAAAUGGAUGAUCUGUGUGCUAUGCUUUCCGAAUGCAACUUGGUGGGAAUCCCUUGCGAAUGGUGGAUGGAUUCUGGUGCCACCCGCCAUGUUUGUGCUAAUAAGGAGUUAUUUUCGACAUUCGUUUCGGCUCAAGUAGAAGAAAAAAUCUACAUGGCAAACUCCAUUACUGUAAAAAUGGAAGGAACAAGAAAGUGUACUUGAAGAUGACUUUCGACAAAGUGUUGACACUUAACAAUAUCCUGUAGUUCCUGAGUUACGAAAGAACUUGAUUUCUAUUUCACUUCUAGACAAGAACGAAUUCAAAUGUGUAUUUAUUUUCGAAAAAAUUGUACAUAGCAAAGAAGAAGUGUAUGUAGGAAAAGGCUACCUCAAUGAGGGCCUAUUCAAAAUGAAUGUUGAAAUCAAUAAAAGUUCAAAUUCUUC
This is a long non-coding RNA of Capsicum annuum, 1394 nucleotides long. RefSeq lists it as uncharacterized. NCBI's taxonomy places the organism in Eukaryota, Viridiplantae, Streptophyta, Magnoliopsida, Solanales, Solanaceae. The transcript is spliced from 2 exons. The record is from RefSeq and is a predicted model, not a curated record.